This 468-nucleotide ribosomal RNA is filed under the name uncultured bacterium. Its description in RNAcentral is "partial 16S ribosomal RNA". It matches the Rfam family "Bacterial small subunit ribosomal RNA", at positions 28 to 507 of the family's 1533-position model. The record is from RNAcentral.
GACGAACGCUGGCGGCGUGCUUAACACAUGCAAGUCGAACGGAAAGGCCCUGCUUUUGUGGGGUGCUCGAGUGGCGAACGGGUGAGUAACACGUGAGUAACCUGCCCUUGACUUUGGGAUAACUUCAGGAAACUGGGGCUAAUACCGGAUAGGAGCUCCUGCUGCAUGGUGGGGGUUGGAAAGUUUCGGCGGUUGGGGAUGGACGCGCGGCUUAUCAGCUUGUUGGUGGGGUAGUGGCUUACCAAGGCUUUGACGGGUAGCCGGCAGGAGAGGGUGACCGGCCACAUUGGGACUGAGAGACGGACCAGACUCCUACGGGAGGCAGCAGUGGGGAAUAUUGCACAAUGGGCGGAAGCCUGAUGCAGCAACGCCGCGUGCGGGAUGACGGCCUUCGGGUUGUAAACCGCUUUCGCCUGUGACGAAGCGUGAGUGACGGUAAUGGGUAAAGAAGCACCGGCUAACUACGUG